GAUGAACGCUAGCUACAGGCUUAACACAUGCAAGUCGAGGGGUAACAAGAGGAAAGCUUGCUUUUCUUGUUGACGACCGGCGCACGGGUGAGUAACGCGUAUCCAACCUGCCUAUAACUAGGGAAUAACCUUGCGAAAGUAAGACUAAUACCCUAUGAUUUCCUUUGAUGACAUCAGAUUAGGAAUAAAGAUUUAUCGGUUAUAGAUGGGGAUGCGUCUGAUUAGCUUGUUGGCGGGGUAACGGCCCACCAAGGCAACGAUCAGUAGGGGUUCUGAGAGGAGGGUCCCCCACAUUGGAACUGAGACACGGCCCAAACUCCUACGGGAGGCAGCAGUGAGGAAUAUUGGUCAAUGGGCGGAAGCCUGAACCAGCCAAGUAGCGUGCAGGAUGACGGCCCUAUGGGUUGUAAACUGCUUUUAUACAGGAAUAAAGUUAGCCACGUGUGGUUAUUUGUAGGUACUGUAUGAAUAAGGACCGGCUAAUUCCGUGCCAGCCGCCGCGGUAA
This 506-nucleotide ribosomal RNA is filed under the name uncultured bacterium. RNAcentral's name for it is "partial 16S ribosomal RNA". It matches the Rfam family "Bacterial small subunit ribosomal RNA", at positions 28 to 523 of the family's 1533-position model. The record is from RNAcentral.